AUGCCCAUUGCCGAGGAUGAGGAUGAGACAUUGUUCAAGGUGAUAUGCUUGGCUAACUACGAAACCAAGCUGGUUGCAUUUCUAUUCUCUUCCGUCACAGGAGAAUGGUGCAUAGCCGCAACUGUCAGCUGGAGCUCUUUGGGCAGCCAGCCACAGAUAUGGCGAAACUUCAGAGGUUGCGAUUACCGUGGCGUGUCCUGUUUUGACUGUGCGCGCGGCUCCUACUACUCAACAUCGACUUUUAACGACAAGCUGCUUGUGUUGGACACAAGGAAAAUGGAGUUUUGCAUUGUCGAUGAUCGUACUGGCUACCAUAUGAACCUCAGAUGUCUGCCUGGCCAGCACGAGGACGUUGUCGACAUCUAUGUGCCAUCCCGAUUCCGGCCUGGCCAGAGUAGAAGUCUGCCUCGCAUUGUUGUGGGUAGAGAAGGAGCCCUUGAGAUGUUUUCUCUCGUUGGUGAUCACACUCCAAAUGGCUCUUUUGAUCUCUAUCAUACCACUCAGCAAAAUAAUGGCCAGUCUUCCAAGGAAUGUCAGCUGGAGAAUAUUAUACCGUUGCCCGGCAAGUAUGACUAUUUCACUGUGGGUGCAGCUGAGGGAUUCUUAUUCCUUGGAGCCACUACAGAAGAUCAGCUGGACUUUGUUGAAAGCGUCCCUAUGAGCUUGUUGACGACUGAGUGGAAUGUAGAUUAUUUUGCAUUGGAUGUCAAGACUUCUGAACUUACUAAGGUUUGUAGGAGCAGGAGGCAAUUCUUCCAUAAAGAAGAUGUUCACUGCUACUUUGGCUUCCCCCUGUCGUUGUCAAAACCGAGUAUAUGA
This 819-nucleotide ribosomal RNA is filed under the name Triticum aestivum (bread wheat). RNAcentral describes it as "partial small subunit ribosomal RNA". Lineage: Eukaryota; Viridiplantae; Streptophyta; Magnoliopsida; Poales; Poaceae. The record is from RNAcentral.